AUUAAUUUUUAAUUUUUUCUUUCAGUCACUCUUAUUAAAGAUGGCAAAGGUUGAAUGAAAGAAAAAAUUAAAA
RNAcentral lists this microRNA precursor (73 nucleotides) under Otolemur garnettii (small-eared galago). RNAcentral's name for it is "miRNA (ENSOGAG00000032947.1)". The record is from RNAcentral. Lineage: Eukaryota; Metazoa; Chordata; Mammalia; Primates; Galagidae.